UGAGCAGUGAGUCAGUGACCUUCUCCUAACAAGCCCCUGCAUCUCUGCCCGGAGACCCCUGCUGGCAAUGGGAGGGUGCUUUGAGGUCCAAUCAGACUGAAGGACAGACAGCACUAAUGUGCUGGGCGCUGAGGGCAUUGGAGAUGGUGUGAGGGAGGUGAGCCUUCACACCACUACCACCAACACUGUCAGAUCCUUCACGUCAAACCCUCACUCCAUGCAUCUGAGUCACCCCAAAGCAAUCGGCUAGGUUUGAGGUGUGGGCUAUGUUACAUUCGGCUCGGUUUGAGGUGUGGGCUAUGUUACAAUCAGCUAGGUUUGAGGUGUGGGCUAUGUUUAUGAGACGAGCGUGUUUUUGGACUGCAGGGGUCCCGUGUCUGAAGGGAGGGAAGGAUGGCAGGAAAGAAAGUAAGGAAGGAAGGAAAUGACGAUUUGGCUGCUGUUGCUAAAGGAGUGUGAGGUAUGAUGAGAUGCAUGCCACCUUCCUCUGUUGUUCCUGACCAGAGAUAUUAUAAUGUGGGCUGUAGCAGAGGUCACUUUGGAGGGA
Molecule: long non-coding RNA, 547 nt
Organism: Oncorhynchus tshawytscha (Chinook salmon)
Lineage: Eukaryota; Metazoa; Chordata; Actinopteri; Salmoniformes; Salmonidae
Source: Ensembl